GUUUCAUUCUGUCUCACUGGAGAGGAGGCAGGGACAGACCCAGCAGCACCCACCUGAGCGAGAAGAGCAGACACCGUGCUCCUGGAAUCACCCAGCAUGUUGCAAGGUCUCCUGACAGUCAGUCUCCUCCUCUCUGUUGCAGUAAGUGCUAUAAAAGAACUCCCUGGGGUGAAGAAGUAUGAAGUGGUUUAUCCUAUAAGACUUCACCCACUGCAUAAAAGAGAGGUCAAAGAGCCAGAGCAACAGGAACAAUUUGAAACAGAAUUAAAGUAUAAAAUGACAGUUAAUGGAAAAAUUGCAGUGCUUUAUUUGAAAAAAAACAAGAACCUCCUUGCACCAGGCUACACAGAAACAUAUUAUAAUUCCACUGGAAAGGAGAUCACCACAAGCCCACAAAUUAUGGAUGAUUGUUAUUAUCAAGGACAUAUCCUUAAUGAAAAGGUUUCUGACGCUAGCAUCAGCACAUGUAGGGGUCUAAGGGGCUACUUCAGUCAGGGGAAUCAAAGAUACUUUAUUGAACCUUUAAGCCCCAUUCAUCAGGAUGGACAGGAGCAUGCACUCUUCAAGUAUGACCCUGAUGAAAAGAAUUAUGACAGCACCUGUGGGAUGGAUGGUGUGUUGUGGGCCCAUGAUUUGCAGCAGAACAUUGCCCUUCCUGCCACCAAACUAGUAAAAUUGAAUGACAGGAAGGUUCAGGAACAUGAGAAAUACAUAGAAUAUUAUUUGGUCCUGGAUAAUGGUGAGUUUAAAAAGUACAAUGAGAAUCAAGAUGAGAUCAGAAAGAGGGUGUUUGAGAUGGCUAAUUAUGUCAACAUGCUUUAUAAAAAGCUCAAUACUCAUGUGGCCUUAGUUGGUAUGGAAAUCUGGACUGACAAGGAUAAGAUAAAGAUAACCCCAAAUGCAAGCUUCACCUUGGAAAAUUUUUCUAAAUGGAGGGGGAGUGUUCUCUCAAGAAGAAAGCGUCAUGAUAUUGCUCAGUUAAUCACAGCAACAGAACUUGCUGGAACGACUGUGGGUCUUGCAUUUAUGUCUACAAUGUGUUCUCCUUAUCAUUCUGUUGGCAUUGUUCAGGACCACAGUGAUGAUCUUCUUAGAGUUGCAGGGACAAUGGCACAUGAAAUGGGCCACAACUUUGGAAUGUUUCAUGACGACUAUUCUUGCAAGUGUCCUUCUACAAUAUGUGUGAUGGACAAAGCACUGAGCUUCUAUAUACCCACAGACUUCAGUUCCUGCAGCCGUCUCAGCUAUGACAAGUUUUUUGAAGAUAAAUUAUCAAAUUGCCUCUUUAAUGCUCCAUUGCCUACAGAUAUCAUAUCCACUCCAAUUUGUGGGAACCAGUUGGUGGAAAUGGGAGAGGACUGUGAUUGUGGGACAUCUGAGGAAUGUACCAAUAUUUGCUGUGAUGCUAAGACAUGUAAAAUCAAAGCAACUUUUCAAUGUGCAUUAGGAGAAUGUUGUGAAAAAUGCCAAUUUAAAAAGGCUGGGAUGGUGUGCAGACCAGCAAAAGAUGAGUGCGACCUGCCUGAAAUGUGUAACGGUAAAUCUGGUAAUUGUCCUGAUGAUAGAUUCCAAGUCAAUGGCUUCCCUUGCCAUCACGGGAAGGGCCACUGCUUGAUGGGGACAUGCCCCACACUGCAGGAGCAGUGCACAGAGCUGUGGGGACCAGGAACUGAGGUUGCAGAUAAGUCAUGUUACAACAGGAAUGAAGGUGGGUCAAAGUACGGGUACUGUCGCAGAGUGGAUGACACACUCAUUCCCUGCAAAGCAAAUGAUACCAUGUGUGGGAAGUUGUUCUGUCAAGGUGGGUCGGAUAAUUUGCCCUGGAAAGGACGGAUAGUGACUUUCCUGACAUGUAAAACAUUUGAUCUUGAAGACACAAGUCAAGAAAUAGGCAUGGUGGCCAAUGGAACUAAGUGUGGCGAUAACAAGGUUUGCAUUAAUGCAGAAUGUGUGGAUAUUGAGAAAGCCUACAAAUCAACCAAUUGCUCAUCUAAGUGCAAAGGACAUGCUGUGUGUGACCAUGAGCUCCAGUGUCAAUGUGAGGAAGGAUGGAGCCCUCCUGACUGCGAUGACUCCUCAGUGGUCUUCCGUAGACUUCUCCAUUGUGGUUGGGGUGCUGUUCCCAAUGGCGGUCAUUUUUGUGGUGGUUGCUAUAGUAAUCCGGCACCAGAGCUCCAGAGAAAAGCAGAAGAAAGAUCAGAGAGUCUCCCUCUGUGGCCCAGGCUGGAGUGCGAUGCUGCGAUCUCGGCUCACUGCAACCUCCACACCUCCCAGUUUCAAGCCACUAUCUACCACUGGCACCAGGCCACACAAACAGAAGAGGAAACCCCAGAUGGUAAAGGCCGUUCAACCCCAAGAGAUGAGUCAGAUGAAGCCCCAUGUGUAUGAUCUGCCAGUAGAAGGCAAUGAGCCCCCAGCCUCUUUUCUAAUUACAAAGCCAGAUUUUCCACCACCGCCAAUUCCUGCACCUAUAUCAUCUUCUUUGCUUCAUAAAGACACAAAAGCACUUCCCUCUACUGUUUUCAAGGAUAAUCCAAUGUCUACAUCUAAGGAUUCAAAUCCAAAAGCAUGAAGCAACAGCUAAGCAAGAACUAAUGGCUAAAUUAUCAAAUUGGAAAACUGGAAAAUCUGGAUGGCAGAGAAAUAUACUUAUAAAACUGGAAAAUCUGGAUGGCAGAGAAAUAUACUUAUAUCUCACCAGUAUUUGCUCUCGACUCAAGAAGGUUAACAUUUUCUGAUUCAUGUUAGACUUUGAAGAGACUAAAGAAAAUUUUCAAGAGGAACAUAUGCCUGAGAACCUUUGCAUGAAUUUAAAAUUUCAAUUAUCCAUUCUUAUAAGAAGGAAGAUGAUUGUAAAGAAAUAUCUCCGAAGUUAAAAUCUGUAAUAGGAAUUGAUUCAUUCUCUAAUGAAAACAAAACAUAAAAACAUCACACUAAUCUUGGAGGAAUAAGAAAAAUUGUACAUCCAUUAAAUGUACAAUUGAUUGCAACAUCUUGAUUGUUUUAACCAUUAACUUGUCAAAUUACAAUCUCAGUUAAGAAAAUGA
This is an RNA transcript of Pan troglodytes (chimpanzee), 3047 nucleotides long. It is a transcript of the gene named ADAM metallopeptidase domain 28, with no coding region annotated. The record is from RefSeq and is a predicted model, not a curated record. The transcript is spliced from 25 exons. Lineage: Eukaryota; Metazoa; Chordata; Mammalia; Primates; Hominidae.